GCAAACUUGGUCAUUUAGAGGAAGUAAAAGUCGUAACAAGGUCUCCGUAGGUGAACCUGCGGAGGGAUCAUUACCAGAGAUGGCGGGCCCCGCGCCCCCGUCCCCAACCCUUUGUUGACGCAAAACCUUUUUGCCUCGGGGGCAGAGCGUCCUCGGACGCCGCCCCCGGAGGACCACCAAACGCUGUCUCUGUACCUCUGAGUUUUGAUUUAAAUGAAUGAAAACUUUCAACAACGGAUCUCUUGGUUCUGGCAUCGAUGAAGAACGCAGC
Molecule: unclassified non-coding RNA, 271 nt
Filed under: uncultured fungus
Lineage: Eukaryota; Fungi
Description: partial contains small subunit ribosomal RNA, internal transcribed spacer 1, and 5.8S ribosomal RNA
Rfam family: Eukaryotic small subunit ribosomal RNA (bases 1-73)
Source: RNAcentral